CCUACGGGUGGCAGCAGUCGAGAAUCAUUCACAAUGGGGGAAACCCUGAUGGUGCGACGCCGCGUGGGGGAAUGAAGUUCUUCGGAUUGUAAACCCCUGUCAUGUGGAAGCAAAUUAACAAGAUAGUACCACAAGAGGAAGAGACGACUAACUCUGUGCCAGCAGCCGCGGUAAUACAGAGGUCUCAAGCGUUGUUCGGAAUCACUGGGCGUAAAGCGUGCGUAGGCUGUUUCGUAAGUCGUGGGUGAAAGGCGCGGGCUCAACCCGCGGACGGCAUAUGAUACUGCGAGACUAGAGUAAGUGAGGGGGAAGCGGAAUUCUAGGUGUAGCAGUGAAAUGCGUAGAUAUCGAGAGGAACACUAGUGGCGAAGGCGAGUACCUGGACAUUAACUGACGCUGAGGCACGAAGGCCAGGGGAGCGAAAGGGAUUAGAUACCCGGGUAGUC
RNAcentral lists this ribosomal RNA (446 nucleotides) under uncultured bacterium. RNAcentral's name for it is "partial 16S ribosomal RNA". It matches the Rfam family "Bacterial small subunit ribosomal RNA", at positions 338 to 795 of the family's 1533-position model. The record is from RNAcentral.